AACGAAGAGGCGCAUUACUCAGGUAGAUUAUUUUAGGGGCUGGAACCGUUAAUAAAUGAUUGAGGGGAUGUAAUGCCGAGAUUUAAUUGAUAAUCCAGAACUCAGUUAGAUCGACUGCAAGGGCUGAAUCCCUUGGGUUGUCACCCUAACAGGUGGAGCGCUUCAGGG
RNAcentral lists this non-coding RNA (168 nucleotides) under Gilliamella apicola. RNAcentral describes it as "Lysine riboswitch". It matches the Rfam family "Lysine riboswitch aptamer". Rfam says of the family: Riboswitches are metabolite binding domains within certain messenger RNAs that serve as precision sensors for their corresponding targets. Allosteric rearrangement of mRNA structure is mediated by ligand binding, and this results in modulation of gene expression. The record is from RNAcentral. Lineage: Bacteria; Pseudomonadati; Pseudomonadota; Gammaproteobacteria; Orbales; Orbaceae.